Long non-coding RNA from Mastomys coucha (southern multimammate mouse), 312 nucleotides. RefSeq lists it as uncharacterized. NCBI's taxonomy places the organism in Eukaryota, Metazoa, Chordata, Mammalia, Rodentia, Muridae. The record is from RefSeq and is a predicted model, not a curated record. The transcript is spliced from 3 exons.
UGGCAUUUGUUCUAAACCAGGAAUCUGGUAGAGAUCAGGGCGGUGCCUAUCAUCUCAGGAUACCAGGAAUCCAGUCCAAUAGCAACAAGCACAAAUCAGUAGUGGCAGCAUGAUCCAGCAGAAACAGCAAGGCAUGAGUCAGUGGAAGUAACCAGAAUCAGCCAGAACACCAAGAGAAGUUCUCUGGCGCAUUUCUCUCUACAAAGUGAAGACCAGCGAAGACUAGCAAAGCACUGCACAAAGUUGCAGUCUAUCUAUCCAGCAAUGGCUGGUUGUGAAUGGAAAGUCCAAGACUCCUGUAGUUGCUCAGUC